ACUUUGAGUAAAUUAGAGUGUUCAAAGCAGCCUGUAUGGGCAUUGAAUAGAUUAGCAUGGGAUAAUAGAAUAGGAUUCUUAUCUAUUUAUUGGUUUAUAGAUUUAGAAUAAUGAUUAAUAGGGAUAGUUGGGGGCACUUGUAUUCAAUAGUCAGAGGUGAAAUUCUAGGAUUUAUUGAAGACAAACUUCAGCGAAAGCAUUUGCCAAGGAUGUUUUCAUUAAUCAAGAACGAAAGUUAGGGGAUCGAAGACGAUUAGACACCGUCGUAGUCUUAACUAUAAACUAUGCCGACCAGGGAUAUGAGAGUUUUAUAUUUAUGUUAUGAAUAAUAACAUAAUCUCUUGUGGACCUUGUGAGAAAUCAUAAGUUUUUGGGUUCUGGGGGGGAGUAUGGUCGCAAGGCUGAAACUUAAAGGAAUUGACGGAGGAG
This 429-nucleotide ribosomal RNA is filed under the name uncultured eukaryote. RNAcentral describes it as "bacterial SSU rRNA". It matches the Rfam family "Eukaryotic small subunit ribosomal RNA", at positions 754 to 1164 of the family's 1831-position model. The record is from RNAcentral.